RNAcentral lists this unclassified non-coding RNA (406 nucleotides) under soil metagenome. Its description in RNAcentral is "partial contains 5.8S ribosomal RNA, internal transcribed spacer 2, and large subunit ribosomal RNA". The stretch from base 1 to 121 matches the Rfam family "5.8S ribosomal RNA", at positions 35 to 154 of the family's 154-position model. The record is from RNAcentral.
GAUGAAGAACGUAGCGAAAUGCGAUAAGUAAUGUGAAUUGCAGAAUUCAGUGAAUCAUCGAAUCUUUGAACGCACCUUGCGCCCUUUGGCCAUUCCGAAGGGCAUGCCUGUUUGAGUAUCAUGAACACCUCAACUCUUCAUGGUUUUCCAUGAUGAGCUUGGACUUUGGGGGUCUUGCUGGCCUGUGGGUCGGCUCCUCUCAAAUGAAUCAGCUUGCCGGUUUUUGGUGGGCAUCACAGGUGUGAUAACUAUCUACGCUUGUGGUUUUCCACCAGGGUAACCUUCAGCAGUGGAGGUUCACUGGAGCUUACAAAUGUCUCUCCUCUGUGAGGACAGCCCUUUGAACGUUUGAUCUCAAAUCAGGUAGGACUACCCGCUGAACUUAAGCAUAUCAAUAAGCGGAGGA